UUCAGGCAUACUUCAAUGGCACAACAUGCAAAGCUCAAGGGCAGGUCGGAUGAAACGGCACUCCAAGAAAUGUUGCGAGAAGAAGACGUCUCUUCAAUUUAAAGGAGCACGCGAUGGCGACCUUCCUGUAAAUUAAAAGGGCAUUUACCAACGAGGAGAUGGGUCGACUGUCAUCACUCUAAACCGCACGCGGGUCCACCCGAAUUUCUGUAUGCUAUGUGACAGGAAUAUCAACGUGGACUUCGAAUAUAAUUAGAUUAGAAGGCGGGUGAUAAGGAGAACGUUCUGUGAUGGGUAUUCUCGCCAAUUCUCUGCUAGUGGUAAACGAAUUCCUAUUGGAUCUCAACAGGAAUGGCGGUAGAAUGAUCGCAAUGCUAGAUAUGCAAAAUAUCAAGGUUCGCUUCUGGACACUAUGGUGGUAUGCGGUGGGCACACUGAGUAGGGUUUCAGACUACUUGGUACCGAGACCGAUUCGAAUGUUGGAAUAGAAUGAAACCUCCGUCUUUAUAGAUGAUUCCAAGAUGGAGACAGGGACUGGAUUGGAGCUAUUCGUAUGUUCUUUAAAGACAGUGACGGACGUCGAAGUGUAUGGCGGACCGUGUGGAAUCCAUGAAUAGACUCUCCACAUACAUGGAUUAGCGGAUAUGAUGGCGCCGUAUUGGCUCUCUUUUUGUAAUCACUUCUUAUGUCAGACUGGCCAACAAGUGAACUCAUCUUUUCAUGAUGGGCAUAACCUAAAUUGUAACAAAUUGGGCAGAGAAAGCAUAGAAUAGAAAUAUACAUAGAAUAGAAAUAUCAGUUUUAUAAAUAUACAUUUUUGGUUUUGAAA
This is a long non-coding RNA of Stomoxys calcitrans (stable fly), 829 nucleotides long. RefSeq lists it as uncharacterized. The transcript has 2 exons. The record is from RefSeq and is a predicted model, not a curated record. Lineage: Eukaryota; Metazoa; Arthropoda; Insecta; Diptera; Muscidae.